AUAGACCGUGCUAUUCUCCGCGCCGGUGUAGUUGCCGCCGACGGACAGAACGUCGCC
RNAcentral lists this small RNA (57 nucleotides) under Sinorhizobium meliloti 2011. Its description in RNAcentral is "putative ncRNA". The record is from RNAcentral. Lineage: Bacteria; Pseudomonadati; Pseudomonadota; Alphaproteobacteria; Hyphomicrobiales; Rhizobiaceae.